CCUACGGGGGGCAGCAGUGGGGAAUUUUCCGCAAUGGGCGAAAGCCUGACGGAGCAACGCCGCGUGAGGGAGGAAGGCUCUUGGGUUGUAAACCUCUUUUGUUAGGGAAGAAAAAAAUGACGGUACCUAACGAAUCAGCAUCGGCUAACUCCGUGCCAGCAGCCGCGGUAAUACGGAGGAUGCAAGCGUUAUCCGGAAUUAUUGGGCGUAAAGCGUCCGCAGGUGGUCAUUCAAGUCUGCUGUUAAAGGCAGAAGCUUAACUUCUGUUAGGCAGU
Molecule: ribosomal RNA, 275 nt
Filed under: uncultured bacterium
Lineage: Bacteria
Description: partial 16S ribosomal RNA
Rfam family: Bacterial small subunit ribosomal RNA
Source: RNAcentral